This 206-nucleotide ribosomal RNA is filed under the name Pectobacterium carotovorum. Its description in RNAcentral is "partial 16S ribosomal RNA". It matches the Rfam family "Bacterial small subunit ribosomal RNA", at positions 662 to 867 of the family's 1533-position model. Lineage: Bacteria; Pseudomonadati; Pseudomonadota; Gammaproteobacteria; Enterobacterales; Pectobacteriaceae. The record is from RNAcentral.
UAGAAUUCCAGGUGUAGCGGUGAAAUGGGUAGAGUUCUGGAGGAAUACCGGUGGGGAAGGCGGCCCCCUGGCCAAAGACUGACGUUCAGGUGGGAAAGCGUGGGGAGCAACCAGGAUUAGAUACCCUGGUAGUCCACGCGGUAAACGAUGUGGAUUUGGAGGUUGUGCCCUUGAGGAGUGGCUUCCGGAGUUAACGCGUUAAUUCG